GACGAACGCUGGCGGCGUGCUUAACACAUGCAAGUCGAACGGAAAGGCCCUGCUUUUGUGGGGUGCUCGAGUGGCGAACGGGUGAGUAACACGUGAGUAACCUGCCCUUUACUUUGGGAUAACUUCAGGAAACUGGGGCUAAUACCGGAUAGGAGCUCCUGCUGCAUGGUGGGGGUUGGAAAGUUUCGGCGGUUGGGGAUGGACUCGCGGCUUAUCAGCUUGUUGGUGGGGUAGUGGCUUACCAAGGCUUUGACGGGUAGCCGGCCUGAGAGGGUGACCGGCAACAUUGGGACUGAGAUACGGCCCAGACUCCUACGGGAGGCAGAAGUGGGGAAUAUUGCACAAUGGGCGGAAGCCUGAUGCAGCAACGCCGCGUGCGGGAUGACGGCCUUCGGGUUGUAAACCGCUUUCGCCUGUGACGAAGCGUGAGUGACGGUAAUGGGUAAAGAAGCACCGGCUAACUACGUG
This 468-nucleotide ribosomal RNA is filed under the name uncultured bacterium. Its description in RNAcentral is "partial 16S ribosomal RNA". It matches the Rfam family "Bacterial small subunit ribosomal RNA", at positions 28 to 507 of the family's 1533-position model. The record is from RNAcentral.